GAUGAACGCUGGCGGUGUGCCUAAUACAUGCAAGUCGAGCGAAAACACGAGGAGAUUGCUCUCUUGACGUUAGCGACGGACGGGUGAGUGAGAAGUGGAUAAGCUACUUAUAAUACUGGGAUAAUUUCGGGGAAACGGAGAUAAUAAUGGCUCAUAUAUUGAACCGGUUGGAUCAGUAGUGCAUGACGGUUUUGCUGACACUUAUAGAUGGAUUCGUGUCGGAUUAGCUAGUUGGUAAGGUAACGGCCUACCAAGGCGACGAUGCGUAGCCGACCUGAGAGGGUGAUCAGCCACACUGGAACUGAGACACGGUCCAGACUCCUACGGGAGGCAGCAGUGGGGAAUCUUCCACAAUGGGCGAAAGCCUGACGGAGCCACACCGCGUGGGUGAAGAAGGCCUUCGGGUUGUAAAGCUCUGUUAUUGGGAAAGAACAGAUGUGGAAUAAUCCAUGCAUGUCUUGACGGUACCUAAACAAUAAGCCACGGCUAACUUCGUG
This 497-nucleotide ribosomal RNA is filed under the name uncultured bacterium. RNAcentral describes it as "partial 16S ribosomal RNA". It matches the Rfam family "Bacterial small subunit ribosomal RNA", at positions 28 to 507 of the family's 1533-position model. The record is from RNAcentral.